Long non-coding RNA from Triticum aestivum (bread wheat), 777 nucleotides. RefSeq lists it as uncharacterized. The record is from RefSeq and is a predicted model, not a curated record. The transcript has 3 exons. Lineage: Eukaryota; Viridiplantae; Streptophyta; Magnoliopsida; Poales; Poaceae.
GGGUGUUGGCAUGCGCGCGUACGGAGGAGCUCCACCUCACCCACUUCAGCUUCCUCCUGUCGUCAUCAUCGUCCUCCGCGCGACCACGCCAACUUCCAUGGUUUGGGGGAGCCUUCCCUAUGAGGAUCCAGCGUGUCGUCCUCGUCGCACCCUAAUUAGGUUCCUGGUGUGUCCGCACCGCCGCACCCUAAUUUAAUUUCGACUGGAGUCUAGGACGUCAGCGCCACCAGUUUACCAAUCAGGUCGUUAGCACUGCCGUCCAGGUGAUAAUAAACGCCGUUCACCACAACAAGAGGUGAGAGGCAGAUUCCAGAUAAGGGAGCAAACUGCGUAGCAAGAUCAAUAAUGAAUGGUUCAAGUCAUGUGUUACAAGUUACAAUGAGCAGGUGGUACUCAAGUCCGUUGAUGAUAAGGAUAUUAUUCGAACAUUUACUGCAAUGAGGUCUCGGAAAGGGCAUUUGCCUCGUGAUUGUCUUUAGUGCGCUGUCGGUAUUCGGUAUGUUCCAUCUGACCAUCUCUAUUCCUGCAAGCUUUUGAUUUGUAAUAUAUUCAAAUAAUUUGUAUUUAAAAAUUAUGGGUUAGUAGAUCCGUUUUAAUUUGCAUUUCUAUUCUAGCAAGUAUUCGGUAUUUGCAUUCUUUUGUCCACGCUUUAAUUCCUAGAUCCCGUUUGUUUCGGCAGCAUUGUUACUUUGUUGUUUCUUCUGCUACAAGGCCCAUGGUUAUAGUAAACCUUCUUAUUUUAAGCAUCCUAUCAAACCUACUUAAACAAACGUGUGC